Entelurus aequoreus (snake pipefish) is the source of this 2946-nucleotide long non-coding RNA. RefSeq lists it as uncharacterized. Lineage: Eukaryota; Metazoa; Chordata; Actinopteri; Syngnathiformes; Syngnathidae. The transcript is spliced from 9 exons. The record is from RefSeq and is a predicted model, not a curated record.
GGUGGUCGACAUCGUGGAUAGCGGCAGCAAAGAGGGCGGCUAAGAUCUCGAGAUCGGUGAAGACAGCCUAAGGACAAAGAGAGAACAAGAAGCUUCCAAGAGCUUUUAAGUGACACUUUUCUCCCCACUAAGCGGACAAUGACUGAAUGUACUGAACAAAAGGGCGGCGAGACCUUGGCGAGCUCAUCCUCGUGGUCCGUGUUGACCCCGAAGCGAGGCAUGGAGGAGCUGGAGAGGCUGGAGCUGUGGGACAGCUUCCGCACGCCGCUGAUGUGACUCAUCGACUUGUCCUUCAGCGUCGGAGAUGGGAUGUCCACUUCGUCCUGCUUGUCUACACAUUGACACAAUCAGUGACUCAUGGCUCGUAUUGGGAUGCUACGUGGCAGGAUUGGUGCUGCACUCACCCAGGAAGGUGCUGGAGAUGUACUCUGACACCUGGUUGCCUGAGCGACUCAUCUCGGACAGGUCAAGCAUGGCCCAGCUCCUACCUUGUUGGAUGCCAUCUCGCUGACCGAGCGGUGCGUCUGGAUGGUUUCCAGCUGGUCCAAACACCAGUCCAGUUCUUCCAGCGUGUCCAAGGCGAGCUGUUGGUGCUGUUGGUCCGACAGCUUGGCUCUGGGACUGACACACACUCCACUCAGCGGUGACCUCCUGAGUUCACAGAAAAAAGGCCUCUACAGACGGAGGAGCUCUUGGAUCUGCACUGCAGUGCCGUAGCAACAAAACACUGGGGGAACAGUACCAGUUGCUAGGCAACAGUGCCAUGUUGCUCCCAUGCUGUGCUGAAUGUUGUCGUCCAGACCAGAUGUGGAAAGAUGCUUACACACACACAUAAUAUAUAUGUGUGUAUAUAUAUAUAUAUAUAUAUAUAUAUAUAUAUAUAUACACACUCUUACACAAACACUAACAGAAAGGCUCAGUAUGAUCAAUAAAAAGCUGUUUGAAUAAUGCAUGCUAUCAUCAUGUCCUUCAUCCAGGAUGAAAGCACCUCAAAGGAAACGUCCUCUUCUAAGUGGAUUCAUGUGCACAGACCUUUGAGGACACGAACAAAGGAAGGCGGGAAUGUUAUGUGUGUGUGUUUUGUCAUGGCGGCCCUUCAACGCAAGCCAAACACGGCGGCGGCGGCGGCGUUUCGGCGGACGUGCUCCUCACCUCUUCUCCUGUCACCGACAGCACACUGCGGCUCUUCUUCAUCCUGAUUGGCUCGUUCUGGGCCCCAGGGCGGAGCGUUCCGGAACCCAGGCAGCAGAGCAGGUGGAGAGCCAGGACCGGAGAGGUCAAAGGUCACUGCAAGGUCAAACCUGGGACGGCGGGGUCAGGGCAGGACGCGGUCAGACCGGGUAACCGGCGUCCAUUGAGGCCGACCCAACCGACACCUCAGUGUUCAAAGUGGACCCCGCCCACAAUGCAUUUAGGUGUCCGGCUUCUUGUUAUUGUUGUUGUUUUGAUUGCUUAUUUUCCACACAAGUCCCGGAUGUGAGAGACAAAUAGUUCACUCCAUUUUGUAAAAAACAAACAGUCCAAAGGGGGAAGGUCCAGGUGGUCCUGCUUGGACCAGGUGAGCCAACAGCACAUCCCUGUCAGGGUCCAUGACGCCAGUGCCGGGGGACGCUCGGAAUCCAGAAGCAUCAUCUGUGGUCAUCCUUUCAGAAUGUUGAGCACCACUGGAAAGUAAUCCUGGAAGGCCUUCAGUGUCUCCUCUUGUCACACCUGCAAGGACACCAAAAAAAAAACAAGGCACCCAGAGUCCAGAGUCGCCACACCUGGUCAGGUGAUACUUGCCCUCCGAGCAAGACAUGCACACACCUGCUCCUUCAUGGCCUCCUCCAUACACAUCGGUGCGCAGCAUCGGUGCGCAGCAUCGGUGCGCAGCAUCGGUGCGCAGCAUCGGUGCGCAGCAUCGGUGCGCAGCUGCGGACACGCUCCUUCAGCAUCUCCAGCUCACGCUCAAACGCCUCCUGGUUGGACUUGUUAGCGCUCUGGCGACGCAAAUCAAACGCCCAAGGAUAUCUGCCUCGACGCAGAGACGGCCAGGUUUGACUUACUGACCUUCAUCCUUGAGAAGAACUGCCUGAAGCAGCCUCGUGGGUCCUCUUGAAGCACAUUGCCUAAAUCCAUAAUGGACUGCAUGACGAUGGCCUGGUGGGCCGCCUGCUCCAUUAGUGCGUGUUUCUGAACAGGCAGGGACAGGAUUGUUGUUUUUCUCAUGCUACCUUCUGAAAAUGAGCAGACACACUGUACCUCAUCAAUGUCAUGUUCAAUACAGGUGACCACAAGACGGUUUGCUGUCUCCUCACACACCAGAUGUGGAUUCUCUGACAGAUACUUCUGGCUGUCGUGCCAACGCCGCAUCAUCCCUGGUGUGAAACAUGCUUCAGUGUUUGCUCACCUCAGCUCGAAGCUUGUGUCAGCUGGGCCUCCUCUUCCUCCUCCCCGCUCCUGCUUUCAUCUUGCAGCGCUUGGAAUCGUCCCCGGGUUUCCUCCAGGAGCCUGCUGCAUUCUGUGAGGUUCAUCUCCAGGUCUUUUCUUCUCUGCUGGAACUCUGCCAUUUUCCCCAGGCGGGUCUGUCGGGGUUAUUUAUGGAACCUCACAGCGGUCUGUUGGAUGCCAAGGGGCGGGACUAACGGCGGUUUGAGACUUGUGAUUGGCUGAGCCAAGCGUGUUUGUUCCUGUCAUGGCCUCACGUGGAACCGCAGCAAAGGAAGACAACAGUCACAUAGCCACAAAAGAACUGAACAUUAAUGUGUGUACACGCCAUUUGGGAGGCAUUUUUGGAAAAAAAGGGGUCAUUUUUGCAGCUCCAUUGCAGGUUCAGGCCUGGUUAGUACUAGAAAAAGGGACUACCUGGGAUGCUGUAAACCUUUUACACUUGCGGCACUCUCACAGCAGAGGGCGCUGUUUCUAACAUGCCGAGAGAAAAAAAAUCAGUUGUGUUUAACUUUAAAU